This 253-nucleotide ribosomal RNA is filed under the name uncultured bacterium. Its description in RNAcentral is "partial 16S ribosomal RNA". It matches the Rfam family "Bacterial small subunit ribosomal RNA", at positions 524 to 776 of the family's 1533-position model. The record is from RNAcentral.
UACAGAGGGUGCAAGCGUUGUUCGGAAUUACUGGGCGUAAAGGGCGCGUAGGCGGCCUUCUAAGUCGCACGUGAAAUCCCCGGGCUCAACCCGGGAACUGCGUCCGAUACUGGAGGGCUUGAAUCCGGGAGAGGGAUGCGGAAUUCCAGGUGUAGCGGUGAAAUGCGUAGAUAUCAGGAGGAACACCGGUGGCGAAGGCAGCGCGCUGGGACGUUACUGACGCUGAGGAGCGAAAGCGUGGGGAGCGAACAGG